AGUGAACGCUGGCGGUAGGCCUAACACAUGCAAGUCGAACGGCAGCACAGUAAGAGCUUGCUCUUACGGGUGGCGAGUGGCGGACGGGUGAGGAAUACAUCGGAAUCUACUUUUUCGUGGGGGAUAACGUAGGGAAACUUACGCUAAUACCGCAUACGACCUACGGGUGAAAGCAGGGGAUCUUCGGACCUUGCGCGAUUGAAUGAGCCGAUGUCGGAUUAGCUAGUUGGCGGGGUAAAGGCCCACGAAGGCGACGAUCCGUAGCUGGUCUGAGAGGAUGAUCAGCCACACUGGAGCUGAGCCACGGUCCAGACUCCUACGGGAGGCAGCAGUGGGGAAUAUUGGACAAUGGGCGCAAGCCUGAUCCAGCCAUACCGCGUGGGUGAAGAAGGCCUUCGGGUUGUAAAGCCCUUUUGUUGGGAAAGAAAAGCAGCAGGUUAAUACCCCGCUGUUCUGACGGUACCCAAAGAAUAAGCACCGGCUAACUUCGUG
RNAcentral lists this ribosomal RNA (492 nucleotides) under uncultured bacterium. RNAcentral describes it as "partial 16S ribosomal RNA". It matches the Rfam family "Bacterial small subunit ribosomal RNA", at positions 29 to 507 of the family's 1533-position model. The record is from RNAcentral.